CCUUAAGGUCUCAGGUGUGUAGUUAAAUAGUUCAUCCUUAGAAAAAUGUUAUUUUGGCCAUAUUCCUUUGAUUCUGGCAAUUGCUGCAAACUGAAGAAUGUCCUUUAGGGAAAAUUCUUAUUUAAUUUUGAUGUAAUUUCAUUACCUCUCUCUUUACCCUUCUUGGAUUGAGAGGUCACCCUUUGCAAUAGCACUCCUAUUUAUCAGAAGUGAAGUUGGGGG
This 222-nucleotide long non-coding RNA is filed under the name Bos taurus (domestic cattle). RNAcentral's name for it is "long non-coding RNA NONBTAT013817". The record is from RNAcentral. Lineage: Eukaryota; Metazoa; Chordata; Mammalia; Artiodactyla; Bovidae.